GACGGACGCUGGCGGCAUGCCUAACACAUGCAAGUCGAACGAGACCUUCGGGUCUAGUGGCGCACGGGUGCGUAACGCGUGGGAAUCUGCCCUUGGGUUCGGAAUGACUCGCCGAAAGGCGCGCUAAUACCGGAUGAUGUCGUAAGACCAAAGAUUUAUCGCCCAGGGAUGAGCCCGCGUAAGAUUAGGUAGUUGGUGAGGUAAAGGCCCACCAAGCCGACGAUCUUUAGCUGGUCUGAGAGGAUGAUCAGCCACACUGGGACUGAGACACGGCCCAG
This 278-nucleotide ribosomal RNA is filed under the name uncultured bacterium. RNAcentral's name for it is "partial 16S ribosomal RNA". It matches the Rfam family "Bacterial small subunit ribosomal RNA", at positions 28 to 334 of the family's 1533-position model. The record is from RNAcentral.